RNAcentral lists this ribosomal RNA (478 nucleotides) under uncultured bacterium. RNAcentral describes it as "partial 16S ribosomal RNA". It matches the Rfam family "Bacterial small subunit ribosomal RNA", at positions 28 to 523 of the family's 1533-position model. The record is from RNAcentral.
GACGAACGCUGGCGGCGUGCUUAACACAUGCAAGUCGAACGGUAAGGCCCUUCGGGGUACACGAGUGGCGAACGGGUGAGUAACACGUGGGUGAUCUGCCCUGCACUUCGGGAUAAGCCUGGGAAACUGGGUCUAAUACCGGAUAGGACUCCGGACUGCAUGGUCUGGGGUGGAAAGCUUUUGCGGUGUGGGAUGGGCCCGCGGCCUAUCAGCUUGUUGGUGGGGUGAUGGCCUACCAAGGCGACGACAGGUAGCCGGCCUGAGAGGGUGACCGGCCACACUGGGACUGAGAUACGGCCCAGACUCCUACGGGAGGCAGCAGUGGGGAAUAUUGCACAAUGGGCGCAAGCCUGAUGCAGCGACGCCGCGUGAGGGAUGACGGCCUUCGGGUUGUAAACCUCUUUCAGCAUCGACGAAGCGAAAGUGACGGUAGGUGCAGAAGAAGGACCGGCCAACUGCGUGCCAGCCGCCGCAGUAA